UACACAUGCAAGUCGAGCGGAGACAGUGAGUAGCUUGCUAUGAGCUGUUUUAGCGGCGGACGGGUGAGUAACGCGUGAGCAACCUUUCCCAGACAGGGGAAUAACACACCGAAAGGUGUACUAAUACCGCAUAAGACCACGGGAUCACAUGGUUCUGGGGUAAAAGAUUUAUCGGUUUGGGGUGGGCUCGCGUCCGAUUAGGUAGUUGGUGAGGUAACGGCCCACCAAGCCGACGAUCGGUAGCCGACCUGAGAGGGUGAUCGGCCACAUUGGGACUGAGACACGGCCCAAACUCCUACAGGAGGCAGCAGUGGGGAAUAUUGGGCAAUGGGGGGAACCCUGACCCAGCAACGCCGCGUGGAGGAAGAAGGUUUUCGGAUCGUAAACUCCUGUCCUUGGAGACGAGUAGAAGACGGUAUCCAAGGAGGAAGCCCCGGCUAACUACGUGCCAGCAGCCGCGGUAAUACGUAGGGGGCAAGCGUUGUCCGGAAUAAUUGGGCGUAAAGGGCGCGUAGGCGGCUCGGUAAGUCUGGAGUGAAAGUCCUGCUUUUAAGGUGGGAAUUGCUUUGGAUACUGUCGGGCUUGAGUGCAGGAGAGGUUAGUGGAAUUCCCAGUGUAGCGGUGAAAUGCGUAGAGAUUGGGAGGAACACCAGUGGCGAAGGCGACUAACUGGACUGUAACUGACGCUGAGGCGCGAAAGUGUGGGGAGCAAACAGGAUUAGAUACCCUGGUAGUCCACACUGUAAACGAUGAAUGCUAGGUGUAGGGG
RNAcentral lists this ribosomal RNA (769 nucleotides) under uncultured bacterium. RNAcentral's name for it is "bacterial SSU rRNA". It matches the Rfam family "Bacterial small subunit ribosomal RNA", at positions 50 to 828 of the family's 1533-position model. The record is from RNAcentral.